GGCUGGUCCUAAGGUAGUGAGUUAUCUCAACUGAUUGUUCACAGUCAGUACAGAUUGAAUUCCUUGUUCUACUCUUUCCCCCCUUCUCACCACUGCAUUUGACUAGUCUUUA
Molecule: unclassified non-coding RNA, 112 nt
Organism: Cavia aperea (Brazilian guinea pig)
Lineage: Eukaryota; Metazoa; Chordata; Mammalia; Rodentia; Caviidae
Rfam family: Y RNA
About the family: Y RNAs are components of the Ro ribonucleoprotein particle (Ro RNP), in association with Ro60 and La proteins. The Y RNAs and Ro60 and La proteins are well conserved, but the function of the Ro RNP is not known.
Source: Ensembl